UUAAGAGGCUCUAAUAGGCUUCAAAAAAGGGUGGUCUCGGGAGUAAGUCCGGCUAAUUCCACAAAUCCCAGAAUUAGGGAAACGUAGGCAAGCAACUGCCCUUCAAAUGAAUACCCUGGUUGCAUAUGAAAUAUUGUAUUCCUCCUCUUCAAUAAAUCAGCACAUGAUGCAGCCACUACAUUUUGUGUUGUAGCUCCUAGUUACUUGAACAGAGCUUGCCAUUCAGAAAUUCCAAAUUUUGGAGGUUCAUGUUUUCAAAAAGUUUGGCUGAGCCACAAACUUUAAUUUGUUUCUUUGGUCUCUAGUUAUGAACACAAAUGGUUGCAUAAGGACUUCUGUAGUAUCUCUUAGUAAAUUAAAUGUUUGAAGAAUUGGGGAGCUAGGUGGACUUCAGUGAAUGGCCUUGGCUUACUACAACGUAGGUGGCACAAAAACUGGAUGAAGUAGGGUUACAGAGCAGAGUGGAACUGCACUUGGGCAAUAAUAUUGACAACUUUUUAACUGUUUUUCAUGUUUACCAACAGGGAGAUCGUGGUUUUCAAGGUCUAGAGGGACCAAGCGGCACCAAAGGAGUGCCAGGAGACAAAGGAGAGAGGGGUGCUCAAGGUUUUGGCAGUCCUGGUCAGCCAGGAGCGAAGGGUGAAGCAGGGGAGAGGGGUAUUAUGGGUCUCGUUGGAAGGGCAGGUGCAAAGGUAUGUCCACUUGUGUUUAUUUAAUAAAUUAUUUAUUAUCAUCACCCACUUUCCCGCACCUAAAAACCUCUGCACCUCCCCGAUUUAUUACUACUGCGGACCUCACCCAUUGGAGCGAUGACCACUUGCUAUGCUGCUCCCUGGAAUAAUGACUCUCACUCUAACCACCCAAUCAGUAAGGAGCACCCACCGCUGAACAUAUGACCCCUCUUUGUAUCACACAUCUAUGUGCAUAGUUGUUCGUAAUCAGGGCCGUCUUUAAUGUUGAUUGGACCCUGG
Long non-coding RNA from Rana temporaria (common frog), 971 nucleotides. RefSeq lists it as uncharacterized. The record is from RefSeq and is a predicted model, not a curated record. NCBI's taxonomy places the organism in Eukaryota, Metazoa, Chordata, Amphibia, Anura, Ranidae. The transcript has 3 exons.